This 490-nucleotide ribosomal RNA is filed under the name uncultured bacterium. Its description in RNAcentral is "partial 16S ribosomal RNA". It matches the Rfam family "Bacterial small subunit ribosomal RNA", at positions 30 to 507 of the family's 1533-position model. The record is from RNAcentral.
AUUGAACGCUGGCGGCAGGCCUAACACAUGCAAGUCGAACGGUAACAGGAAACAGCUUGCUGUUUCGCUGACGAGUGGCGGACGGGUGAGUAAUGUCUGGGAAACUGCCUGAUGGAGUGGGUUAACUACUGGAAACGGUAGCUAAUACCGCAUAACGUCGCAAGACCAAAGUGGGGGACCUUCGUGCCUCUUGCCCUCUGAUGUGCCCCGAUGGGAUUAGCUAGUAGGUGGGGUAACGGCUCACCUAGGCGACGAUCCCUAGCUGGUAUGAGAGGAUGACCAGCCACACUGGAACUGAGACACGGUCCAGAAUCCUACGGGAGGCAGCAGUGGGGAAUAUUGCACAAUGGGCGCAAGCCUGAUGCAGCCAUGCCGCGUGUAUGAAGAAGGCCUUCGGGUUGUAAAGUACUUUCAGCGGGGAUGAAGGGAGUAAAGUUAAUACCUUAGCUCAUUGACGUUACCAGCAGAAGAAGCUCCGGCUAACUCCGUG